Molecule: ribosomal RNA, 261 nt
Filed under: uncultured bacterium
Lineage: Bacteria
Description: partial 16S ribosomal RNA
Rfam family: Bacterial small subunit ribosomal RNA
Source: RNAcentral
UUAGGCGGACGGGUGAGUAACGCGUGGAAAACCUGCCGUAUACUGGGGGAGUAACACUUAGAAAUAGGUGCUAAUACCGCAUAAGCGCACAGCUUCGCAUGAAGCGGUGUGAAAAACUCUGGUGGUAUACGAUGGUUCCGCGUCUGAUUAGCUAGUUGGUGGGGUAAUGGCCUACCAAGGCAACGAUCAGUAGCCGGCCUGAGAGGGUGAACGGCCACAUUGGGACUGAGACACGGCCCAAACUCCUACGGGAGGCAGCAG